Molecule: long non-coding RNA, 402 nt
Organism: Podarcis raffonei (Aeolian wall lizard)
Lineage: Eukaryota; Metazoa; Chordata; Lepidosauria; Squamata; Lacertidae
Exons: 3
Source: RefSeq, a predicted model, not a curated record
GAGGUAGAGAGGCGGGGCCGCGCGAUAAAAGAGGGAGGGGCGAAACCUGAGGCGGAGUUGAAGGGGCGGGGCUCUGCUGGUCACUUGAAAUAGUUGGUGGUCUGUCAAGCGGCUUCGCGCCUCUUCUUUAAAGCAGCUCAUCGUGAAGAACUAAAGCAGGGGCUCAGGACUCAGAAACAGCUCUCUGGUGGGCUGUAUGGUACUUCAGACAGCAAAAGAUCCAGAAGUUCAUGAUCAGGCCAGAGAUGUUGUGGUGGCGAUGGAGGGCAGCACAAGGGAGAAUUAACUGUAGAAAAGAACUUCGAUGCCAGCAGAUUAUAUUGGCUACCAGAUGGUAAUUCGGGAGGCCAGCUGACUUAGGGUGGCCUUGGGAAGACCUUAAUUGCUGUUCUGUAAUCCUCU